GUAGUUCAGUCGGUAGAACGGCGGACUGUUAAUCCGUAUGUCACUGGUUCGAGUCCAG
Molecule: transfer RNA, 58 nt
Filed under: Escherichia coli 09BKT078844
Lineage: Bacteria; Pseudomonadati; Pseudomonadota; Gammaproteobacteria; Enterobacterales; Enterobacteriaceae
Description: partial tRNA-Asn
Rfam family: tRNA
About the family: Transfer RNA (tRNA) molecules are approximately 80 nucleotides in length. Their secondary structure includes four short double-helical elements and three loops (D, anti-codon, and T loops).
Source: RNAcentral